This 1349-nucleotide ribosomal RNA is filed under the name Arthrobacter sp. Its description in RNAcentral is "bacterial SSU rRNA". It matches the Rfam family "Bacterial small subunit ribosomal RNA", at positions 98 to 1454 of the family's 1533-position model. Lineage: Bacteria; Bacillati; Actinomycetota; Actinomycetes; Micrococcales; Micrococcaceae. The record is from RNAcentral.
GCGAACGGGUGAGUAACACGUGAGUAACCUGCCCUUAACUCUGGGAUAAGCCUGGGAAACUGGGUCUAAUACCGGAUAUGACUCCUCAUCGCAUGGUGGGGGGUGGAAAGCUUUAUUGUGGUUUUGGAUGGACUCGCGGCCUAUCAGCUUGUUGGUGAGGUAAUGGCUCACCAAGGCGACGACGGGUAGCCGGCCUGAGAGGGUGACCGGCCACACUGGGACUGAGACACGGCCCAGACUCCUACGGGAGGCAGCAGUGGGGAAUAUUGCACAAUGGGCGAAAGCCUGAUGCAGCGACGCCGCGUGAGGGAUGACGGCCUUCGGGUUGUAAACCUCUUUCAGUAGGGAAGAAGCGAAAGUGACGGUACCUGCAGAAGAAGCGCCGGCUAACUACGUGCCAGCAGCCGCGGUAAUACGUAGGGCGCAAGCGUUAUCCGGAAUUAUUGGGCGUAAAGAGCUCGUAGGCGGUUUGUCGCGUCUGCCGUGAAAGUCCGGGGCUCAACUCCGGAUCUGCGGUGGGUACGGGCAGACUAGAGUGAUGUAGGGGAGACUGGAAUUCCUGGUGUAGCGGUGAAAUGCGCAGAUAUCAGGAGGAACACCGAUGGCGAAGGCAGGUCUCUGGGCAUUAACUGACGCUGAGGAGCGAAAGCAUGGGGAGCGAACAGGAUUAGAUACCCUGGUAGUCCAUGCCGUAAACGUUGGGCACUAGGUGUGGGGGACAUUCCACGUUUUCCGCGCCGUAGCUAACGCAUUAAGUGCCCCGCCUGGGGAGUACGGCCGCAAGGCUAAAACUCAAAGGAAUUGACGGGGGCCCGCACAAGCGGCGGAGCAUGCGGAUUAAUUCGAUGCAACGCGAAGAACCUUACCAAGGCUUGACAUGAACCGGUAAUACCUGGAAACAGGUGCCCCGCUUGCGGUCGGUUUACAGGUGGUGCAUGGUUGUCGUCAGCUCGUGUCGUGAGAUGUUGGGUUAAGUCCCGCAACGAGCGCAACCCUCGUUCUAUGUUGCCAGCGCGUUAUGGCGGGGACUCAUAGGAGACUGCCGGGGUCAACUCGGAGGAAGGUGGGGACGACGUCAAAUCAUCAUGCCCCUUAUGUCUUGGGCUUCACGCAUGCUACAAUGGCCGGUACAAAGGGUUGCGAUACUGUGAGGUGGAGCUAAUCCCAAAAAGCCGGUCUCAGUUCGGAUUGGGGUCUGCAACUCGACCCCAUGAAGUCGGAGUCGCUAGUAAUCGCAGAUCAGCAACGCUGCGGUGAAUACGUUCCCGGGCCUUGUACACACCGCCCGUCAAGUCACGAAAGUUGGUAACACCCGAAGCCGGUGGCCUAACCCCUUGUGGGAGGGAGCU